GUAAUGCCGGAUGCUCCGACUCCUCGCAUGGGGUGUCGGGAAAGAUUUCAUCGGUAUGGGAUGGGGUCGCGUCCUAUCAGGUAGUCGGCGGGGUAACGGCCCACCGAGCCUACGACGGGUAGCCGGCCUGAGAGGGCGACCGGCCACAUUGGGACUGAGAUACGGCCCAGACUCCUACGGGAGGCAGCAGUGGGGAAUAUUGCACAAUGGGCGCAAGCCUGAUGCAGCGACGCCGCGUGCGGGAUGACGGCCUUCGGGUUGUAAACCGCUUUUGAUCGGGAGCAAGCCUUCGGGUGAGUGUACCUUUCGAAUAAGCACCGGCUAACUACGUGCCAGCAGCCGCGGUAAUACGUAGGGUGCAAGCGUUAUCCGGAAUUAUUGGGCGUAAAGGGCUCGUAGGCGGUUCGUCGCGUCCGGUGUGAAAGUCCAUCGCUUAACGGUGGAUCUGCGCCGGGUACGGGCGGGCUGGAGUGCGGUAGGGGAGACUGGAAUUCCCGGUGUAACGGUGGAAUGUGUAGAUA
This 521-nucleotide ribosomal RNA is filed under the name Bifidobacterium pseudocatenulatum. Its description in RNAcentral is "bacterial SSU rRNA". It matches the Rfam family "Bacterial small subunit ribosomal RNA", at positions 163 to 696 of the family's 1533-position model. The record is from RNAcentral. Lineage: Bacteria; Bacillati; Actinomycetota; Actinomycetes; Bifidobacteriales; Bifidobacteriaceae.